GACGUAGGGUGCGAGCGUUGUCCGGAUUUAUUGGGCGUAAAGAGCUCGUAGGCGGCUCGUCGCGUCGACCGUGAAAACCCGCGGCUUAACUGCGGGCUUGCGGUUGAUACGGGCGGGCUAGAGUUCGGUAGGGGAGACUGGAAUUCCUGGUGUAGCGGUGAAAUGCGCAGAUAUCAGGAGGAACACCGGUGGCGAAGGCGGGUCUCUGGGCCGAUAUCGACGCUGAGGAGCGAAAGCGUGGGGAGCGAUCAGG
This 253-nucleotide ribosomal RNA is filed under the name uncultured bacterium. RNAcentral's name for it is "partial 16S ribosomal RNA". It matches the Rfam family "Bacterial small subunit ribosomal RNA", at positions 524 to 776 of the family's 1533-position model. The record is from RNAcentral.